CGCCAUCACAUAUGUUCAGAGGCUGAUGAACUGAAAAGAUCUGGGAGCCACAUGUGACCAGUAGAAUGAGCAUCAGCCUAGCAUAGAGUUUCAGUGGGAGAUGACUUUUGGGAAAGUUCCCACAGAAAUGCCAUUGUAGCAUUUCUGUCCUUACUGGGCCUGAUUUCAUUUAUUCUGAGGCUUCCUCACGUGUUCCUGGCACUGCAAUGAGACCUUAAAGCGGGUAUAAAGCACAUUUGCGAUCACAUUGAGGCCCUUUGGCAUUGCCAGAAGGGUGUGAAAGGGCUGCUCAUGUCAAGAAGAAUCUGGCCCACUAUGUUUAUCCGUACAGUAGCUUCUGCUGAGUCAGAGUCUGCCUCACAGCCAGGAAAAAGGAAGGGCUUGUUUUCAUUAGGGGACAUCAAUGCUAUCUGGUGGUUGCAGAUCACCGGAGCUAAAAGCAUGCUGAGGGAGGAUCACAGAAGACUUUGUGGAACUCCAAAGCAGGAAUACUUCGGUGUGAUGAAGGACACAGUUGGAAAGAUGAUAUUUUCAAUAAUACAGCAGCCUCUCUUUAGGGCUUAAUCUCCCAAAAGUGGAGAGUAGGAGCUGAUCCUUCUCCUAUGAGAAGAGAAGGAAAAGACCUCAGGAGGCUGUGACAACCAUGCAAGAAGUCCGCAUAAGGAACAAGAGCACGGAUGCACCAGAAGCCUCCUGGGCUCCCCACCAAUAAGGUGCAGAGUACAGGGGCUGCCUGCCUCCCCACCUCUGAGGGGCUGUAAGUGGUGACACUGCUGAGCUCCAGAAACUGGGAAUAGCGCAGGAGGCUGCUAGGAAACUACUGAUACCCCUGAGGAAGGGCUUGAGGCUGGUGUCCAAUCAUGUUUUCCUGUAUUGGGUCAUUGUGAGUCCAGCUCUUGUCCCGGGAGUGAUCUGCUCCAAGCUUUUCUUAGCACAGGGUGAUGUCAGCUGCUCAGGAGUGUUUCCAGAGUCAAGCUUCUCAAGCUUCAGCUGCUUGCUUUUGUGGGACUAGGUGUUUACAGAAGCUGACCCUGUGACCCACCACCUACCAGCACACGUCUCCUCCGGUACUGCUGAGGACACCACUGCAGCCAGCACUGGUUUGGAUAGCAAAAAUUGGAUGUGAAGCUGACAGAACAGGAUCAGGAGGCUUUGGUUUGCACCACAGCUGCAGGCAACCACUGCAUCCUGACGUGGACCAGUGAGACAUCCCUGAAUGCCUCCUUUGUUUCAUGCCAGGGAGUUUCUUUGGAUAAAGCUGAUCAAAGGAAAGUGUUAUUCCAUACACUGCAGCAUGAGUCUGCCUGAAAACUAACUUCUGUAAUUUCUUUUAUGGCUCUUAUGCCCUCUGGAGUUCCUACAACGAGUUUUCCUUGCCUUUUGGUUAAGGUGACCCAGAAAGUUUUUUCCCAGACGUGUUUUGCUCAAGAUGCAAUGAGCUUUUAUUCUUCCUCUUUACCUGUACCUUUUCAUGUGAUUGGGCACUGGGAUAUCACAUGGUGAAGUGGGGGGUUAAGUAAUUUCCUUUCUCCUUAAGAUCUCAACACUUUUAUUGUGUACUUGAAUUACACAUUCCUUGCUUCAGGCUGCUUUUCCUUGCCACAGCUUUUUGAAGACACUGGCAAAAUUUGGACUCUUAGCACUUCUUGCAAUGUAACGUAAUUUUAUCAGGUAAGUGUGGACCUCCUGCAGACCCUAAUACUCUGAAGGAAGGCAACUGCUCAAAGGAUGCCAAGUUCAGUGCGUGAGCACUGUUAAUUUUGAUGGCAAAGUCCCCAAUGGUAAACAUUUGUGAGAGUACCACAUGUCUUAGAUGCAAAGCCUGCCUGAUAAUACAAAAUUAUCUUAGACUUAAACAGAACUAGGAUUUAAAGUUUUGGUUUCAAAAAUAAGCUAGAAAUUGAGCUACUGAUACAAACCUGUGUGAUCAGGAACCUGAAUUUGUAGCUUGAUGCAUACGAUGAAGUGAAAAUGCUCAGGAAGGCUCUGGAAAAAUUUCCCUUUUCCCUCACCUUCUCUUCUCACUUAUUUGAUUGACUGUGGAGUACUGUGUUUAUCACCCACCUUGGAAUGCCUGGAAGUCUGAGAUGACUUCUAGGAUUUUGAGUCUGGAAAGCAUUUUAAGGCUCCAAAGACAGGCUCUGC
This is a long non-coding RNA of Oxyura jamaicensis (ruddy duck), 2145 nucleotides long. RefSeq lists it as uncharacterized. The record is from RefSeq and is a predicted model, not a curated record. Lineage: Eukaryota; Metazoa; Chordata; Aves; Anseriformes; Anatidae. The transcript is spliced from 5 exons.